This 60-nucleotide ribosomal RNA is filed under the name Phylacia bomba. Its description in RNAcentral is "partial 28S ribosomal RNA". The record is from RNAcentral. Lineage: Eukaryota; Fungi; Ascomycota; Sordariomycetes; Xylariales; Xylariaceae.
GGUUGACCUCGAAUCAGGUAGGAAUACCCGCUGAACUUAAGCAUAUCAAUAAGNCGGAGG